This is a non-coding RNA of Podarcis lilfordi (Lilford's wall lizard), 86 nucleotides long. NCBI's taxonomy places the organism in Eukaryota, Metazoa, Chordata, Lepidosauria, Squamata, Lacertidae. The record is from the annotation of a GenBank genome assembly.
UCUCCUAUCUGCUGGGAUUAGUUCAUCUGAAAGAGCAUGAGACUCUUAAUCUCAGGGCUAUGGGUUCAAGACCUAUGUUGGGUGAA